CGGUAAUUCCAGCUCCAAUAGCGUAUAUUAAAAUUGUUGCGGUUAAAACGCUCGUAGUUGGAUAUUUGUUGAGAACUGCCGGUCUACCCCAGUGGUCAGCACACGGUUUGUUCUCGGCACUUUCCUGGGGAGAGUGUUUGCACUUCAUUGUGUGGCACAUGAUCCAGAACUUUUACUUUGAGGAAAUGAGAGUGUUUCAAGCAGGCGCAUGUCGUGAAUACGUUAGCAUGGAAUAAUAGCAUGGGACCGCGGUCUGAAGCUGUUGGUUUUUGGGCCGUGGUAAUGAAAAUAGGGAUAGUUGGGGGUAUUCGUAUUUAACUGUCAGAGGUGAAAUUCUUGGAUUUUUUAAAGACGGACUACUGCGAAAGCAUCUGCCCAGGAUGUUUUUAUUGAUCAAGAACGAAAGUUAGGGGAUCGAAGACGAUCAGAUACCGUCCUAGUCUUAACCUUAAACCAUGCCGACUAGAGAUUUGGGUCGUCAGAAUCGUGACGCCCUGAGCACCUUAGGGGAAACCAAAGUCUUCGGGUUCCGGGGGGAGUAUGGUCGCAAGGCUGAAACUUAAAGGAAUUGACGGAAGGGCACCACCAGGAGUGGAGCCUGCGGCUUAAUUUGACUCAACACGGGGAAACUUACCAGGUCCGGACAUAGAGAGGAUUGACAGACUGAUAGCUCUUUCUUGAUUCUAUGGGUGGCGGUGCAUGUCCGAUUUUAGUUAGUGGAGUGUUUGGUCAGGUUAAUUCCGUUAACGAACGAGACCUUAACAUAUUAAAUACUUUCCAGAACCAUAUAAUUUCAGGAUGAUAUAUUAGAGGGACUUUGUGUGCGUAACGUGAGGAAGUGCGAGACCAUAUCAGGUAUGUGAUUACAUUAUAUGUUCUGCGCCCCCCGCGCGCUACUCUGAUGCGCUCAACGAUCUCCUAAUCUACUCCGGAAGGACUGGGCAACCUAAUGAAAUCGCAUCGUGAAGGGGAUAGAUUAUUUCAAUUUUUGAUCCUGAGGCGAGGAAUAUGUAUAGUAAGCGUAUCUCGAUCAGAUUGCGCUGAUUACGUCCC
RNAcentral lists this ribosomal RNA (1053 nucleotides) under uncultured eukaryote. RNAcentral's name for it is "SSU rRNA". It matches the Rfam family "Eukaryotic small subunit ribosomal RNA", at positions 577 to 1653 of the family's 1831-position model. The record is from RNAcentral.